AGUGAACGCUGGCGGCAGGCCUAACACAUGCAAGUCGAGCGGAUGAAGGGGGCUUGCUCCUGGAUGCAGCGGCGGACGGGUGAGUAAUGCCUAUGAAUCUGCCUGGAAGUGGGGGAUAACGUCCUGAUACGGGCUCUAAUACCGCAUACGACCUUAGGUAGAAUGUGGGGCAGCUUCGGACCUCUCGCUAUCAGAUGAGCAUAGGUCGGAUUCGCUAGUUGGUGGGGUAAAGGCUUACCAAGGCGACGAUCCGUAACUGGGCUGAGAGGAUGAUCAGUCACACUGGAAGUGAGAAACGGUCGCGACUCCUACAGGAGGACACAGUGGGAAAUACUGGACGAUGCGCGAAUGCCUGAUCUAGCCAAAUCGGGUGAAUGCAGAAGGUCUUAUGCCUGUAGAAUAAUUUAAGUUUGGAGGAUGGGAAGUUCGUUAAUAGCUUGCUGUAUUGACGUUACCAACAGAAGAAGCCCCGGCUAACUUCGUG
This 484-nucleotide ribosomal RNA is filed under the name uncultured bacterium. RNAcentral describes it as "partial 16S ribosomal RNA". It matches the Rfam family "Bacterial small subunit ribosomal RNA", at positions 29 to 507 of the family's 1533-position model. The record is from RNAcentral.